RNAcentral lists this ribosomal RNA (497 nucleotides) under uncultured bacterium. RNAcentral describes it as "bacterial SSU rRNA". It matches the Rfam family "Bacterial small subunit ribosomal RNA", at positions 29 to 507 of the family's 1533-position model. The record is from RNAcentral.
AUGAACGCUGGCGGCGUGCCUAACACAUGCAAGUCGAGCGGGAAAUACUUGAUUGAAACUUCGGUCGAUUGAUAGUAUGGAGAGCGGCGGACGGGUGAGUAACGCGUAGGCAACCUGCCUUAUGCAGAGGGAUAGCCAUUGGAAACGAUGAUUAAAACCUCAUAAUGCCAAGAGUUCACAUGUACUUUUGGCCAAAGAUUUAUCGGUGAUGGAUGGGGAUGCGUCUGAUUAGCUUGUUGGCGGGGUAACGGCCCUCCAAGGCGACGAUCAGUAGGGGUUCUGAGAGGAAGGUCCCCCACAUUGGAACUGAGACACGGUCCAAACUCCUACGGGAGGCAGCAGUGAGGAAUAUUGGUCAAUGGACGAGAGUCUGAACCAGCCAAGUAGCGUGCAGGAUGACGGCCCUAUGGGUUGUAAACUGCUUUUAUAAGGGAAUAAAGUGAGUCUCGUGAGACUUUUUGCAUGUACCUUAUGAAUAAGGACCGGCUAAUUCCGUG